AGCAGCGGCGGUUGACUAAUGCCUAGGAAUCUGCCUGGUAGUGGGGGGGACAACGUUUCGUAAAGGAACGCUAAUACCGCAUACGUCCUACGGAGAAAGACAGGGGACCGUUCGGGUCCGUUGUCGCUAUCAGAUGAGCCUACGGUUCGGGAUUAGCUAGUUGGUGAGGUAAUGGCUCACCAAGGCUGCGAUCCGUAACUGGUCUGAGAGGAUGAUCAGUCACACUGGAACUGAGACACGGUCCAGACUCCUACGGGAGGCAGCAGUGGGGUAAUAUUGGACAAUGGGCGAAAGCCUGAUCCAGCUAUGCCGCGUGUGUGAAGAAGGUCUUCGGAUUGUAAACGACUACGUUUAAGUUGGGAGGAAGGGCUAUUAACCUAAGUACGUUAGUGUUUGACGUUACGACAGAAUAAGCACCGGCUAACUUCGUGCCAGCAGCCGCGGUAAUACGGAAGGUGCAAGCGUUAAUCGGAAUGUCGACGCGGCCGGAGUCGGUGGAGGG
RNAcentral lists this ribosomal RNA (502 nucleotides) under uncultured Pseudomonas sp. Its description in RNAcentral is "bacterial SSU rRNA". It matches the Rfam family "Bacterial small subunit ribosomal RNA", at positions 94 to 578 of the family's 1533-position model. The record is from RNAcentral. Lineage: Bacteria; Pseudomonadati; Pseudomonadota; Gammaproteobacteria; Pseudomonadales; Pseudomonadaceae.